AAUAGAUACCCCUGGUAGUCCUAGCCGUAAACGAUGAACACUAGGCGUAGUCGGUAUCGACCCCGGCUGUGCCGUAGCUAACGCAUUAAGUGUUCCGCCUGGGGAGUACGGCCGCAAGGCUAAAACUCAAAGGAAUUGACGGGGGGCCCGCACAAGCAGCGGAGCGUGUGGUUUAAUUCGUCGCAACGCGAAGAACCUUACCAGGGCUUGACAUGUGGCGGAAAACGGCGGAAACGUCGUCCUCCCGCAAGGGACCGUCAUGCAGGUGUUGCAUGGCUGUCGUCAGCUCGUGUCGUGAGAUGUUGGGUUAAGUCCCGCAACGAGCGCAACCCCCGUGGCAUGUUGUAUCUCUCAUGCCAGACUGCCGAGAGAACUCGGAGGAAGGUGGGGAUGACGCCAAGUCAGCAUGGCCCUUACGUCCUGGGCUACACACACGCUACAAUGGCCGGUACAACGGGUUGCCAAACCGCGAGGUGGAGCUAAUCCCGUUAAAGCCGGUCUCAGUUCGGAUUGCAGGCUGCAACUCGCCUGCA
RNAcentral lists this ribosomal RNA (533 nucleotides) under uncultured bacterium. RNAcentral describes it as "bacterial SSU rRNA". It matches the Rfam family "Bacterial small subunit ribosomal RNA", at positions 777 to 1320 of the family's 1533-position model. The record is from RNAcentral.